RNAcentral lists this ribosomal RNA (428 nucleotides) under uncultured prokaryote. RNAcentral describes it as "bacterial SSU rRNA". It matches the Rfam family "Bacterial small subunit ribosomal RNA", at positions 355 to 774 of the family's 1533-position model. The record is from RNAcentral.
UGAGGAAUAUUGCGCAAUGGGGGCAACCCUGACGCAGCGACGCCGCGUGAGUGAGGAAGGCCUUCGGGUCGUAAAGCUCUGUCAAAGGGAAAGAAGUGCAUGGUGGUUAAUACCUGCCAUGUUUGACGGUACCCUUAAAGGAAGCACCGGCUAACUCCGUGCCAGCAGCCGCGGUAAUACGGAGGGUGCAAGCGUUGUUCGGAAUUACUGGGCGUAAAGGGCGCGUAGGCGGUUUGAUAAGUCAGAUGUGAAAGCCCACGGCUUAACCGGGGAAGUGCAUUUGAAACGGGCAGACUUGAGUACCAGAGGGGAAAGUGGAAUUCCCGGUGUAGAGGUGAAAUUCGUAGAUAUCGGGAGGAAUACCGGUGGCGAAGGCGACUUUCUGGCUGGAUACUGACGCUGAGGCGCGAAAGCGUGGGGAGCAAACA